Molecule: long non-coding RNA, 9972 nt
Filed under: Marmota monax (woodchuck)
Lineage: Eukaryota; Metazoa; Chordata; Mammalia; Rodentia; Sciuridae
Source: RNAcentral
CGACCCACAGGCAGCCCGUCAGAGAGCGACCCGACGCACGACUCGGCCCGGGUCCCCGCCCCUCCGCGUACGGCGCGGACGCGGUAUGUGGGCCCUGCGGGCCGCCGUCCGCCCGGGGCUGCGGCUCUCCCGUGUAGGCCGCGGCCGCCUGGUUUCCAGGGCCGCACCACCGCCGCCCUGUCCCGUGCGCGCGCUCGCAGCCACCGGCCGUUAUGGCCCGGGGGGCCGGGAGGGGCCGGGGAGCGCUGAGCGGAGUAAAGCGAAUGGUCGGACCACACGCGCGGGAGAGGACGAGGAAGAGCCCGAAGAUGAGGGAGAGGAGGAGGAGGAGGAGGAGGAGUUGCUCAGGAGCGACCCCCUGCUGCCGGCCGGGACCCAGCGCGUGUGCUUGGUUCACCCUGAGGUCAAGUGGGGACCCGGGAAGCCGCAGCUGACCAGAGGUGACCGGGACCCGGCGAGAACACAGAGAAAGCGCUCAGAUGGCUGAGGCGCUGGGGGCGGAGUCUGCGAGGGGCAGGGACCCAGAGGAAGCGCUGAUAGGAUCGAGAUUCCGGGAAGGCGGAACCUGCGAGGGGCGGGAACACAGCGGAAGCCCUCAUAGGGUGGAAGUGUCGGAGAGGCGGGGCCUCAGGGGGGCGGGGAUCCAAGGGAAGCGCUCAUAGGGUGGAACUGCUGGGGAGGCAGGGCCUUAAAGGGGCGGGUACCCAGGGGAAGAGAUCAUAGGAUGGAGAUGCCGGGGAGGCGGGGCCUCAGAAGGGCAAGUGACCUAAGGGAAGUGCUCUGCACGGGGCCUGCGAGGGGUGGGAACACAGUGCAAGCGCUCAUAGGGUGGAGGUGCCGGGGAGGCGGGGUCUCAGAGGGGCGGGGAUCCAGGGGGAGCGCUCAUAGGGCGGAGGGCCGGGGGCGGGGCCUCCAGAGGAGGAACCGAGGAUGGAGCUGUAGGGGCACAGUCUUUGGGGGCGGGGACUCUGAGGGACCGGCGGUGGUGCUGGAGCAUCUGACUUCUCUGGCAGCCCGACAGCGGGCGCUGCUAGCAGGUUUGGGGUCAGGGGAAGGUGAGCAACAGGUGAUGUCACACCUGGUCCCCACACCCUCGAGGCACGAAGGUGUGCGACUGGAAUGGCCAGUGGCCAGCAGUGCCUUUUGUUCCUGGGUAUUGCCAGAGGGAGCACACAGAUCUGGGGCAGUCUGCAAGGGGCUGGGCCCAAGGGAGGGUCUCAGGAGCACGUCCUGGGAUCUCCCCACACGGGGCUGGCCACUGUAGCUGGGGACAGAGCUAGCCACACGGUCCUGUAGUCUUGUAGCAAUUGGAAUUUUCUCUCUAUGGGCACUGGGUAUCCAGCAGGUGGUGGGCACCAAACAGUGGGACCUUGAAGUUGUUUGGGGGGAUUUUAGAUAUAAUUCAUGUAUUAACUAUUUUGAAGAGUGCAGUUCCCAACAGCCACCACCUCUGUAUGGUCCCAAAACAGUCUUAUCACCCCCAAAAGGAGACCCCAUGCCCAUGAGUCACUCCCCCACCCCAGCCCCUGGCAGCCUCGAAUCCACUUCUCUGUCUGGGUUUGUCUGUUCUGGACAUGUCCUGUAGAUGGACUCCUGCGGCAGCUGGACCGCGGUGUCCAGCUCCCCGCGGUGUGCCUGUGCCAAGGCCCAUCCCAGCUACAGCUCACGUCAGCACCUCGCGUUCUGCUUAUCAUCCACCCUGGACGCUGGCCCAGAACAGCGCUGCUGUGACCGCGAGCUGGGUCCUGGGGGUGCACACCUGGGUGGCACGCAGGUGCCUCAGACCUCCUGGCAGGUGGCUGUGUGGAGAGGCUGCACGGCUGGGUGGGGCGGGCUCCCUGCAGUGCUUCUGAUGGGGCCGGGCUGGGCCCCAGUGGGGAUGGCGGGAAGAGGUGCCACCAGAGUUUGGGAUGGACAGAAGGUCCCCGUAAGGUGGGGGCCAGAGCUGACCCCCCAUGUGUCAGAUCUGAGCCACCAAGAGGGUGAGCUGGGAAGACUGGAGACCCGGCCCCUCUUGGUGCAGAGGCUGGGGGACCCACUGAUGGCCUCUGCUUAGCUGCCACUCGCCACCCUCGUCACUGAGUGUCCCUCUCCUUGGUGUCCUCGGGUCCACCAGUGCCGUGAGUGGUGAGGACUGGCGGAUCUAACCCUAACCCCUGCGUAGGGCACAGUUGGUCCUGAGGGGACCACCUGCUGUGGCUGAGGGCUCAGCUGAGAGAACGUGCUAUAAGGGGGGACACUCCUGGGCGUGGGGCCGGGGGUGGUCCCGAGAGAGCUUGGCUGUUGUCACCUGAGAGGACUCAGCCUGCGAACGAGGAGUUGGUCCUGACCGAUGGGGAGGAGCUGGGAGGGGCCCAGCUGUCCGGGCAGCUUAUGUUACGAGGGUCCUAAGCUGCUGCACACUGUGUGGCAGGAACCCAGCUCCCCAGCCCUGGGGGCGGAGGCUGGACCAGGGUCCCAGGCUGAGCUCCCUGCACAGGCUCCAGGGGGCUCCUCACUGCAGGCUCUGCCUCCGUCUCCACGUGGCUCUUUGCUGUGAAUCUCUCCAAAUCUUCCUUUCCUUUAUAAAGAGGCCUGAACUUAGGGUUCACCUUAGUAAGUCGCACGGUUUCGCGCUGAGCAUCCACUAAUUUCAUCUGAUUGCAUAGCGGACCCUGUUCUGAGUGUCCUGGUGGCCAGAUAGGCCUAAGGUUCUCCAUUCAAUAACCCUGACCCAGGCGGGGCCCGUCUCAGGGUCCUUCACCAAUCACAACCUGCAAAGACCCUGUUGGCCGAGGAGGUCCCAUUCGGAGGUCCCAGUGGGCAUGGCUUUGGGGGACAGGAUGCCUCCCAGAGGCACCCAGGAAGGCAGGAGGACUGUGGGGCGCAGAUGUAGGUACUUACUGCACCCUGACUGCAGACCCUCUGGGUGCCCUUCCCAAGCCCCAGGACGCAGUGGGAGCUGCUCUCAGAGCACCCCUGUCCUUGGAGCUCAGUGUCCCAGGUGUCCCUGCGUCUGUCCGCCCCUCCUCCUGCCGUCUUGCUCUCCAGAAAAUGAGAGAAGCACCAGGCAGCGCCUGUGUUCAGCCCGAGUGUCCAGUGCCUUCUCCCAGGCUUCCUCAGCCCCGGGUCCUCCUGGACCCCCACUCACUGCCUGGGCCUGAUGACCCACCCAGCCCCCUCUCAGGACACUCCAGGAGCUCCGUCCACUCCCCCUGCCUCCGGGGUGGACACUGCCUUUCCAAGGCCCUUCAGAUCAUCUGUCACAUCAUCCUGCACAUGUCCUGAGCCCCUGGGGGACACUGUCCUGGCAGGCCAGCAGGGCAGCCAGUGGCCUCCAUGAGUGUCACCCAGCCAGGCCAGCGCUGGCCCUGGGCCAGCUGGGAAAGAAGCUGCUUCUCGCCCACGGGGCUCACAGUCUGUCCUGAGAGUUCAGGGCCCACCCUGGUCUCUGCACCCACCUGGGCUGUCGGGCUGCCUCAGGGACAUGCCACGGAGGCCAUGCUGCACAUGUCCCAAGUCCCAGCUGCAUCUCCCUGAGUGAACCCCCAGGGAGAGAGGGGCUGGUCCUGGUGACCUGUGGGGGCUGCGGUUUCCUUCCUGUGUCCCCCCACUGGUGCCCCACCUGGGGUCUCCCAGGGAGGAGCCCUGCUGCUCGGGAGUACACCCGGGCGCUGGGCGUCUUCUCGGACCGACUUCUCAGGGGUGGAGGGCAGGUGGACAUGUCCUGGGUGGGUGUGGAUGGCCUGCUCCCUACCCUGAGGGUGGCUCGUCUGCUCCUACAGCCGAGUGGCAGGUGGCAGAAGCCCGGGCUCUGGUCCACACGCUGGCUGGCUGGUCUGUGGUGGAGACCAUGGUGGUGUCCACCAAAACGCCUGAGAGGAAGCUCAUCUUUGGCAAAGGGAACUUUGAGCACCUGACAGGUGAGUCCCUUUGGGUGUGUCCCUCCCCUCUGUCUCUGCCAAGAGCAGGCAGGCAGAGUCCUGCAAGGGCUGGCUCCCUGGGGCCCAGGAAGCAGCCGGGCAGGUCUCAGGCGGGAGGGGACAGCAGAGGAGGGGGUUGCAGGAUGUCCCCACAGGCCUGUGCAUGGGGCUCAGAUGGGUCACAGGUUGGAUGAGUCACCUGGGGGUCCCAGGGGGCAGGUCGUGCCAGCAGAUGGGGUAACUGCACCCGUGGCAGCCCCAGCGCACCCUCCCUCCGACAUUGCACCACAGUCGGGGCCCUUUGUACCUCUGUCCCGCUCAAUUCCAGAGCUCCCCACUCCCCCUGAACCCGAAAAGCCCGCUGAGGCUGGGCCGGUGGUCCUAUUGAACCGGAACCCAGACGUCUCUGAGAUGCUGCUGUGCGUGCGUGGGUGGUGCGUGGGUGUCUCCUGUGCACCUCCAGAUGGUCCCUGGCGACUUCUCCUGCAAUGCACUUGGGAAUUCGCGGAACCGUCCAGACACUGUGCGUCCCACUGCCGCGCUGCGAGGUGGGUCUGAGCCACGACCCCGGGGCAGCGCUUCUGACAGGACCUUCUCUUGCCCUUAGAAAGAAUCAGAGGGUCUCCAGAAAUCACGUGCGUGUUCCUGAACGUGGAGAGGCUGUCCCCGCCCACCAAGGUACAUCGGAGUGUCCCCACACCGGCGUUGAAAGCUUCGCUCUGCAGCACAUGGCCAGGGUGUCCCGCGGAUCCCUCCCGAGGCCAGCCGCAGUGGCGGGUCCCUCCGAACCCUCUCCCGGCCCGUUUCUCCUUUCCAGAAAGAGCUGGAGGCCGCCUGGGGCGUGCGGGUGUUGGACCGCUUCACCGUGGUUCUGCACAUCUUCCGCUGCCACGCGCGCACCAAGGAGGCCCGGCUGCAGGUGGCGCUGGCCGAGAUCCCCCUGCUCAGGUACCGCGGCCCAUCCGGCCUGACUGCCCCGGGGCCCCUCUGGAUUAGCUGGUUUGUCACACGGGCAUCAAGAGAAGAGAAGCCACGUACAGCUCGGCUCCGGGGGGCGCCCUGUGCCUGGGCGGGCUCUCCACGUCCUCCCCCUAGGAGCCCCAGGUGUGGAGCGCCACCCCGUGGCAGUGGGGGACCCACCACCCAGGGAGAGGCCCCCUCAGCGCUUCCCUCUCUGCGGUCAAAGCCCCUGCCCCUGCCUGGCUUUUCGGGAGGGACCCCGUGUCCGCAGCAGGUAAGUGCGUCCUGUUUCCACACCAGGUCGAACCUGAAGCACGACGCGGCAGUCUCGGACCGAGGCGGCGGGGGCUCUCGGUACAUCAUGGGGUCCGGUAAGGCGUGGCCUGGGGCGGGGCAUGUCAGCGCAGCCUCCCUCGGAAAGGGGAGGCAGCCCUGGGAGACCCCGGGGAGGCUCGCAGCGGGCCUGGUCUCACAUCCGAGCUAAUGUUCACUUCUGUUGCGUCACUGAGCACCACAAACGGGCAAUUGAUAAGAACUGAGUCUGUCGCCAGGCGCGGUGGCACACCUGUAAUCCCAGGGGCUCGGGAGGGUGCCGCAGGAGGAUCGCGAACUCAAAGCCAGCCUCCGCAAUGGCGAGGCCCUAAGCGACUCAUGAGACCCUGUCUCUAAAUAAAAUCCAAAAUAGGGCUGGGGAUGGGGCUCAGUGGUCGACUGCUCCUGAGUUCGAUCCCGGGUACCCCAGCGAACAACAAAAAGAAUAGUCUGUCCGGCUUAUGUCCUGAUGGCUGCAAGUCCAAGAACGAGGUGUCAGCCAGCGUCUGUUGGGGACUGGUGCUGCAUUGUGACAUGGCAGAGUAUAUCACGUGGCCAGUAUGCAAGGGACAGCCUGCUUUUAAUUAAACAAAGCCAUUCCCUUGAUAAUGCGUAAACCCACGAACACCCCAAUUCACAAACGGACACGUGCAUUCACCCCACUAAUCUAUGAAGGGACUCAUCCACUCCCCCACAAAUGGGUUAACCCACUAAUCCGCGGACUGGCUGGUUCACUGAUCUAUAAAUGGACUAAUCCACAAACGACUAUCCUACUAAGCCACCAGUGGAGUGACCCAUAAGUAGACUAACCCCCGACCACAAACAGAUACGCGCACUAACGCAGUGGGGACUGAUGAGUGAGCACACAGUCCUUAUGUGGAUUAAUCCACUAACCCGUGAGUGGACUCAUCGGACUCCUCCGCUAAUCCACGAAUGGAUUAGUCCAUUGUCCGCGUGGCCCAUUCAUCUCCCAGGGACCCCACCUCCGAACACAAGUAGCUACUGAGUUGGCAGUUGCGUCUCCAGCACCCCAAUGCUGGGGACACGCACAGCCUGGUCCCGGUCAUGGCCCUCUCUGGGCUGAGGUAGCAAUGACCCAGGAUUGGGGGGCAGGGCAGGGACUUGCGGGCCACGUUGGCCCUAUUGCAUGUCAUCCCAGGCUGUCCUCCGAGGCGCCCCUCAGCUGGUUCCCCCCGGGUAAAGGGAGCUGGCCGGGGUCCCGCGUGGAAAAGCUCGGUAGAGGCGCCAGGCCUCGGCAGAAGUGGGUGGGCGGGGCCCUCUGAGAAGGCGCAGGCGCAGUUGGCUCCUUCGCGACCCUCGCGCCUGCGCCUGACGCGCCCGCCCUCGGAUUCUGCAGGAGAGUCCUUCCUGCAGCUGCGGCAGCGCCUCCUGAGGGAGAAGGAGGUGAAGCUCCGGAGGGCCCUGGAGAGGCUGCGCAGGAAGAGGCAGCUCCUGCGGAGGCAGCGCGCCAAGCGGGAGUUCCCGGUGGUCGCCGUGGUCGGGUACACCAACUGCGGUGAGGCGCCGCCCGCAGAGUGCGGCCUCGGCAGGGCAGGGCCCAGGCCCGGGUUCCGCGGCCGGCCCCGCAGCGAAGGCCAGAGACAGCUGCGGGCAGCUCUGCAGAGGCCCGAGCAGGACGCGGGGUCUGGCUCCCCUGGUCGCUGCCCAGGAUAAACGCCCGCGGCCAGCCCGCCGUGUGCGCGCUCUGCACGCGGGAGGAUCCAGGUCCGCACCCCCGGGGCCCCGGGGCCCUGCCUGAGAAGGGGCAGCCAGGUAUGGCCCAGGUGCCCCCGAGGCAGGUCCAGGGAGCAGCCCAGUGGGGAGGCCGGUCACCAGGGGCCACCACAAAGCCACCUUCAGACCCAGUUCCUACACCAUCCUCAAGACACCACUGCACAGCGCCAGGCCCGUGUACACCACCCCACACCAGGUACACGAACCAGGUCUGUCUACACCACCCGCAAGAACCAGGUCCGUCUCCACCACCCCACACCAGGUGCAGGAACCAAGUCCAUCCACACCACCCCACCCCAGGUGCAGGAACCAGGUCCAUCCACACCACCCCACACCAGGCUGGUCCACAGCACCCACCCCACCAUCUACACCGCAUGCUGUGUGCACACGUCACCUGCACCACCACCCCUCCUGGCUGCACACGACCCAGGGCUAGUCCUGUACCUUCCCUCUCUGGCCACCAGGGUCGCUGAGGAGCUGGCACCCAGGGCCUGGGUAAACUGGAUCUUGCUGCCUCUGCCAGGGCCGGGUCUCAGGGGUGGACAGGGCCUGUGGCCAGGCCAGGCGGGGCUCCCUGGGACCUCGUGUGUGUGUCCUGUGCCUCCCCCAGGGAAAACCACACUGAUCCGGGCCCUGACGGGUGACGAGGCCGCGCAGCCUCGGGACCAGCUGUUUGCCACACUGGACAUCACGGCCCAUGCAGGAUCCCUGCCCUCGCGCAUGACCGUCCUCUACAUGGACACCAUCGGCUUCCUCUCCCAGCUGCCCCACGGCCUGAUCGAGUCCUUCUCUGCCACCCUGGAGGAUGUGGCCCACUCGGUGAGUUGGGUGGCCCUGUGGACAAGACCCCAUAGACAAGCCCUGGGGGCCAGGCCCCUCCGUAGGACAUGAUCCUCCAGCUCCAGCAGGAGUCCCUGGGCCUCCCCAGGGGACAGAAACCACAGGAGUCCAGCUCCCCCAGCCCUGGAGGGCAGAGGCUGGACCAGGGGUCACAGGCUCCAGGGAGGCUCCUCCUACCUGUCCAGCUCCUGGGGCCCAGGCGCGGAGGUGAGCGGACGGGCAGUGUGACUGGUGGCGCAGCCAGGAACCUCCCAUGCAAACCGUCUCGCGGUCCAGCCCCGACGGGGUGGACUGUCCCCACCCGUGGGCCACGCUUCUCCUGGAGAAGUUGCAGAAGUCACAAUGACCUCACGGAGGCCCAGGCUGUGCGUGGGGGCCAGGGCAGGGCGCCGGCCAGCCUCCACGGGCAGCUCCUCGUUCUGGGGCCCGGGAGGCCAGGCCAGCCACUGGAGACGGGGUGCUGGCGGGCGGUGGCAGGACCCAGGCACAGGAACUAGGAAGCCUGUGUCCACCUCGGACAUGUCCUGGCCUCCAGCAGCCCUGUCUUGGGGGUCAGGGCCACCCCCACUGCCACCUUCCUAGGCGGUGGUGCCCUCGAGCCCCUCCUGGGCCUCCCACAGGCAGGUGAGCACGACCCCGGAGCCCCGUCCCCAGCCUGUUUUGUGUUUUAUUAGAGACUGGGUCUCCUUGAGCUGCUUAGGGCCUCACCUUUACCCCCUGACCAUGUGGCCUGUCCACAGGCAGCUGGGGACGGCAGCCCUGCAGCCCCCUGACCAUGUGGCCUAUCCACAAGCAGGUGGGGACAGCAGUCCCCUGACCAUGUACCUGUCCACAGGCAGCUGGGGACGGCAGCCCUGCAGCCCCCUGACCAUGUACCUGUCCACAGGCCGGUGGGGACGGCAGCCCCCUGACCAUGUGGCCUGUCCACAGGCAGGUGGGGAUGGAAGUCCCCUGACCCGUGGCCUCCCUGUCCACCAGGAUCUCAUUGUGCACGUGAGAGACGUCAGCCACCCCGAGACGGAGCUGCAGAAAGUCAGCGUCCUGUCUGCCCUGCAGGGCCUGGGCCUGCCCGCCCCUCUGCUGGACUCCGUGGUCGAAGUGCACAACAAGGUGGAUCUGGUUCCGGGGUGAGUGGGCCGCGCUGCACCCACAGGCUUCUCCUUCCCUGGGCAUCCCCAUCGGGGAGGGUCGGGGUGGACUGUGGCUUUCCCACGAGGGACAGACGUGUCCAUCUCCCAGUGCUGCUAAGGGCCAUUGGCAUCCAGCCUCCCUGUGACAUUGGUGGCAGUGGCCUUUCCUGUUGAAGUGACUUGGUCCCACGAGGAGCACCCAGAGCACCCAGGCUGGGCCCCUUGGGUGGGACCUCACCUCUGCAGCUGCCCCAGGGCUGACCGGUGUGCUGGCCUCUCUCAGGUACCGUCCCCCAGACCCGAGCGCAGUGGCCGUGUCCGCCCUCCUGGGACAGGGGCUGGAGGAGCUGAGGGUGGGGCUGGAGGAGGCCGUGCUGAGGGCCACCGGGAGGCAGGUGCUCACCCUGCACAUCAAGCUGGCCGGGCCGCAGCUCAGGUGAGGGACCCAGACCCGGGUCUGCCCCCGGACGGCGGUGGGCCUGGGCCUUGCAGCAUGGCCACCUUUAGCUGCCUCCGUGCACAGAGGGUGGGUAGUGGGCGUGGAAGUCCAUGCUGAUGCUGGCAUGUGCAUACACCAGGUGCUUAAGCUGUGCUCGCUCAUGUUGCAGGGCUGCACGUCCUGUCCACCUCCAGUGUGCCCGGGCCUCCAGCAGCCCUCUCCUGGGGGCGGAAGGAGCCGCUCCCACCACCACCUUCCGGGGCUGGGGAGCGCUGUGGGCAGCGGGGAGAGGUGGGCUGGGCUUCAGAGACGGCCACGCCCUGACGGGCCUCUCUGCCCCCAGCUGGCUUUACGAGGAGGCCACGGUGCAGCAGGUGGACGUGCUGCCUGAGGCCGGGGCAGCCCACGUGAAGGUCAUCAUCAGCAACUCGGCCUAUGGCAAGUUCCGGAAGCUCUUCCCAGGAUGAACUCGCCUGCGCUGGGCACUGUGUGGCUUCCGAACUGGAAACAAGUGGCCGCGGCCUCGCUGGCUGCACCCCCACCCCGCCCACGGCCGAGCAGGGCCGGCGGUCGGCCCAGCCUGCACCCCUCCCGCAGCUGGUCAGCCUGUGGUGUCCCUGCUGCUAUUAAAGUCCAUGUCAGGUGUGCGAACAGC